CCUACGGGUGGCAGCAGUGAGGAAUAUUGGUCAAUGGGCUUACGCCUGAACCAGCCAAGUCGCGUGAGGGAAGACUGCCCUAUGGGUUGUAAACCUCUUUUGUCAGGGAGCAAUUGGCGCUACGUGUAGCGUUAUCGAGAGUACCUGAAGACAAAGCAUCGGCUAACUCCGUGCCAGCAGCCGCGGUAAUACGGAGGAUGCGAGCGUUAUCCGGAUUUAUUGGGUUUAAAGGGUGCGUAGGCGGUUUGAUAAGUUGGAGGUGAAAUGUCGGGGCUCAACCCCGGAACUGCCUCUAAUACUGUUGGACUAGAGAAUAGUUGCGGUAGGCGGAAUGUAUGGUGUAGCGGUGAAAUGCUUAGAGAUCAUACAGAACACCGAUUGCGAAGGCAGCUUACCAAACUAUAUCUGACGUUGAGGCACGAAAGCGUGGGUAGCAAACAGGAUUAGAUACCCCUGUAGUC
This 461-nucleotide ribosomal RNA is filed under the name uncultured bacterium. RNAcentral's name for it is "partial 16S ribosomal RNA". It matches the Rfam family "Bacterial small subunit ribosomal RNA", at positions 338 to 795 of the family's 1533-position model. The record is from RNAcentral.